Molecule: ribosomal RNA, 388 nt
Filed under: uncultured bacterium
Lineage: Bacteria
Description: bacterial SSU rRNA
Rfam family: Bacterial small subunit ribosomal RNA
Source: RNAcentral
GAUGAACGCUAGCGGCAGGCCUAACACAUGCAAGUCGAACGGUAACAUAGAAAGCUUGCUUUCUGAUGACGAGUGGCGAACGGGUGCGUAACGCGUAUGCAACCUACCUUUAAUCGGGGAAUACCUCAGAGAAAUUUGGAAUAAUACCCCAUAACACAACAGAUUCGCAUGUUUUUGUUGUUAAAGUUUUGGCGAUUAAAGAUGGGCAUGCGUGACAUUAGCUUGUUGGUGAGGUAACGGCUCACCAAGGCAACGAUGUCUAGGGGUUCUGAGAGGAUGACUCCCCCANACUGGUACUGAGACACGGACCAGACUCCUACGGGAGCAGCAGUGAGGAAUAUUGGACAAUGGACGAAAGUCUGAUCCAGCCAUGCCGCGUGAAGGUGAC